AUUGAACGCUGGCGGCAUGCCUUACACAUGCAAGUCGAACGGCAGCGCGGGAGCAAUCCUGGUGGCGAGUGGCGAACGGGUGAGUAAUGCAUCGGAACGUGCCAUUGAGUGGGGGAUAACGUAGCGAAAGUUACGCUAAUACCGCAUAUUCUGUGCGCAGGAAAGCAGGGGAUCGCAAGACCUUGCGCUCUUUGAGCGGCCGAUGUCAGAUUAGCUAGUUGGUGAGGUAAAGGCUCACCAAGGCGACGAUCUGCAGCGGGUCUGAGAGGAUGAUCCGCCACACUGGGACUGAGACACGGCCCAGACUCCUACGGGAGGCAGCAGUGGGGAAUUUUGGACAAUGGGGGCAACCCUGAUCCAGCCAUGCCGCGUGAGUGAAGAAGGCCUUCGGGUUGUAAAGCUCUUUCGGCCGGGAAGAAAUCGCACAGGUUAAUACCCUGUGUGGAUGACGGUACCGGACUAAGAAGCACCGGCUAACUACGUG
This 484-nucleotide ribosomal RNA is filed under the name uncultured bacterium. RNAcentral's name for it is "bacterial SSU rRNA". It matches the Rfam family "Bacterial small subunit ribosomal RNA", at positions 30 to 507 of the family's 1533-position model. The record is from RNAcentral.